CUCAGCCACAUGGCACUCUAGAAUCUGCUCUGCUCCUGACUGUGGUUUUGAGGGAGUGAUAAAUUGGAUGUUGGUGCAAGAAUAAAUGUGUGUAUACACUAGGGGGCACCAGAGAACAUGAGGAAGUAGACACAUCUGAUCAAGACACACUGAUCAUGAAGUUGGAAGCAAGAUGAUCCAUUGUUGGGAGCCUGCCGUAUUACCCAUGAGAAUAUAGCCACAAGAUGGCGUCCGCCUACCGCCUCGCUGCUCCCCUGCCCAUCGUGUGCCCAAGAUGGCGCACACAUCCUGCUUCCUGGUUCUUGCUCGGCUUACUGUCCCCGCCAUAUAUGGUAAUGAUUGAUUGCUUCCUUGUUGCCGCCCAAUCGCCUGUCCCCACGUGUAAUCCCAUGAUUGGAUAACAUUAGCUAUAUAAGCCCAAGUAUAGGAAGUGCCCGACGCACAACACGGAAGAAGCCGUCGAGGACGGACAUGUAUUGAGGUUGCUGCCCAGUCAAUAAAGGUGCUUGCAGAGGCUGA
Molecule: long non-coding RNA, 519 nt
Organism: Cavia porcellus (domestic guinea pig)
Lineage: Eukaryota; Metazoa; Chordata; Mammalia; Rodentia; Caviidae
Exons: 2
Source: RefSeq, a predicted model, not a curated record